CCUACGGGAGGCAGCAGUAGGGAAUCUUCCACAAUGGGCGAAAGCCUGAUGGAGCAACGCCGCGUGGGUGAAGAAGGUCUUCGGAUCGUAAAACCCUGUUUUUAGAGAAGAAAAUGCGUGAGAGUAACUGUUCACGUUUCGACGGUAUCUAACCAGAAAGCCACGGCUAACUACGUGCAAGCAGCCGCGGUAAUACGUAGGUGGCAAGCGUUAUCCGGAUUUAUUGGGUGUAAAGGGAACGCAGGCGGUUUUUUAAGUCUGAUGUUAAAGCCUGCGGCUUAACCGGAGUAGUGCAUUGGAUACUGGGAGACUUGAGUACAGAUGAGGUGGGUGGAACUCGAUGUGUAGCGGUGAAAUGCGUAGAUAUAUGGAAGAACACCAGUGGCGAAGGCGGCUUUCUAGACUGUAACUGACGCUGAGGUUCGAAAGCGUGGGUAGCAAACAGGAUUAGAUACCCCUGUAGUC
This 465-nucleotide ribosomal RNA is filed under the name uncultured bacterium. RNAcentral describes it as "partial 16S ribosomal RNA". It matches the Rfam family "Bacterial small subunit ribosomal RNA", at positions 338 to 795 of the family's 1533-position model. The record is from RNAcentral.